Non-coding RNA from Schistosoma haematobium, 48 nucleotides. NCBI's taxonomy places the organism in Eukaryota, Metazoa, Platyhelminthes, Trematoda, Strigeidida, Schistosomatidae. The record is from Rfam.
AUUCAGCUGACGAGUCUCAAAUAGGACGAAUCAAACGUCAAACUGGAU